Molecule: small nucleolar RNA, 144 nt
Filed under: Castor canadensis (American beaver)
Lineage: Eukaryota; Metazoa; Chordata; Mammalia; Rodentia; Castoridae
Description: Small nucleolar RNA SNORA48 (ENSCCNG00000029472.1)
Rfam family: Small nucleolar RNA SNORA48
About the family: The snoRNA ACA 48 has been identified to guide pseudouridylation of the residue U3797 in the 28S rRNA subunit. Its host gene EIF4A1 (eukaryotic translation initiation factor 4A1) is shared with U67 and snoRNA mgU6-77
Source: Rfam by way of RNAcentral
ACCCCCUGGCAGUGGGCAAAGAGAUACCUUAUUGGUGGUGCUGAUCUUUUAUCAGUCAGGGGCAGAGCAAAUGACAGUCCUUUGUUCAUCCUAGCUUGAUGCCUGCGACAGUGGCCAAAACUGUUUCAUGCCUAAGGCACAUUA